RNAcentral lists this ribosomal RNA (424 nucleotides) under uncultured bacterium. Its description in RNAcentral is "bacterial SSU rRNA". It matches the Rfam family "Bacterial small subunit ribosomal RNA", at positions 8 to 434 of the family's 1533-position model. The record is from RNAcentral.
AGAGUUUGAUCCUGGCUCAGGACGAACGCUGGCGGCGUGCUUAACACAUGCAAGUCGAACGGAAAGGCCCCUUCGGGGGUGCUCGAGUGGCGAACGGGUGAGUAACACGUGGGUGAUCUGCCCUGCACUUCGGGAUAAGCUUGGGAAACUGGGUCUAAUACCGGAUAGGACCACGGCCUGCAUGGGUUGUGGUGGAAAGCUUUUGCGGUGUGGGAUGGGCCCGCGGCCUAUCAGCUUGUUGGUGGGGUGAUGGCCUACCAAGGCGACGACGGGUAGCCGGCCUGAGAGGGUGUCCGGCCACACUGGGACUGAGAUACGGCCCAGACUCCUACGGGAGGCAGCAGUGGGGAAUAUUGCACAAUGGGCGCAAGCCUGAUGCAGCGACGCCGCGUGGGGGAUGACGGCCUUCGGGUUGUAAACCUCU